Molecule: ribosomal RNA, 732 nt
Filed under: Sphingobacterium sp. GWS-BW-H204
Lineage: Bacteria; Pseudomonadati; Bacteroidota; Sphingobacteriia; Sphingobacteriales; Sphingobacteriaceae
Description: bacterial SSU rRNA
Rfam family: Bacterial small subunit ribosomal RNA
Source: RNAcentral
AGUUUGAUCAUGGCUCAGGAUGAACGCUAGCGGCAGGCCUAAUACAUGCAAGUCGAACGGUAGAUUACUUUCGGGUAGUUGAGAGUGGCGAACGGGUGCGUAACGCGUAUGCAACCUACCCUAUACAGGGGGAUAGCCCGGAGAAAUCUGGAUUAAUACCCCAUGGCAUCAUUGAGCCGCAUGGUUUAAUGAUUAAAGAUUCAUCGGUAUAGGAUGGGCAUGCGUCUGAUUAGCUAGUUGGCGGUGUAACGGACCACCAAGGCUACGAUCAGUAGGGGUUCUGAGAGGAAGGUCCCCCACACUGGCACUGAGAUACGGGCCAGACUCCUACGGGAGGCAGCAGUAGGGAAUAUUGGGCAAUGGACGAGAGUCUGACCCAGCCAUGCCGCGUGCAGGAAGACGGCGUUCUGCGUUGUAAACUGCUUUUAUCUGGGAAGAAAAUGCCUGCGGGGGAAAUUGCCGGUACCAGAUGAAUAAGCACCGGCUAACUCCGUGCCAGCAGCCGCGGUAAUACGGAGGGUGCAAGCGUUGUCCGGAUUUAUUGGGUUUAAAGGGUGCGUAGGCGGCUAUUUAAGUCAGUGGUGAAAGACUCCGGCUCAACCGGAGCAGUGCCAUUGAUACUGGAUAGCUUGAGUAUUGGAGGGGUACAUGGAAUUGAUGGUGUAGCGGUGAAAUGCAUAGAUACCAUCAGGAACACCGAUAGCGAAGGCAUGUACUGGCCAAUAACUGACG